UUUAUGGAGAGUUUGAUCCUGGCUCAGAGUGAACGCUGGCGGCGUGCCUAAUACAUGCAAGUCGAACGAUGAAGCUCUAGCUUGCUAGAGUGGAUUAGUGGCGCACGGGUGAGUAAUGCAUAGAUAACAUGCCCUUUAGUCUAGGAUAGCCAUUGGAAACGAUGAUUAAUACUGGAUACUCCUUACGAGGGAAAGUUUUUCGCUAAAGGAUUGGUCUAUGUCCUAUCAGCUUGUUGGUGAGGUAAUGGCUCACCAAGGCUAUGACGGGUAUCCGGCCUGAGAGGGUGAACGGACACACUGGAACUGAGACACGGUCCAGACUCCUACGGGAGGCAGCAGUAGGGAAUAUUGCUCAAUGGGGGAAACCCUGAAGCAGCAACGCCGCGUGGAGGAUGAAGGUUUUCGGAUUGUAAACUCCUUUUGUUAGAGAAGAUAAUGACGGUAUCUAACGAAUAAGCACCCCUGAGAGGGUGAACGGACACACUGGAACUGAGACACGGUCCAGACUCCUACGGGAGGCAGCAGUAGGGAAUAUUGCUCAAUGGGGGAAACCCUGAAGCAGCAACGCCGCGUGGAGGAUGAAGGUUUUCGGAUUGUAAACUCCUUUUGUUAGAGAAGAUAAUGACGGUAUCUAACGAAUAAGCACCGGCUAACUCCGUGCCAGCAGCCGCGGUAAUACGGAGGGUGCAAGCGUUACUCGGAAUCACUGGGCGUAAAGAGCGCGUAGGCGGGAUAGCAAGUCAGAUGUGAAAUCCUAUGGCUUAACCAUAGAACUGCAUUUGAAACUGUUAUUCUAGAGUAUGGGAGAGGUAGGUGGAAUUCUUGGUGUAGGGGUAAAAUCCGUAGAGAUCAAGAGGAAUACUCAUUGCGAAGGCGACCUGCUAGAACAUAACUGACGCUGAUGCGCGAAAGCGUGGGGAGCAAACAGGAUUAGAUACCCUGGUAGUCCACGCCCUAAACGAUGAAUGCUAGUUGUUGUGGAGCUUGUCUCUGCAGUAAUGCAGCUAACGCAUUAAGCAUUCCGCCUGGGGAGUACGGUCGCAAGAUUAAAACUCAAAGGAAUAGACGGGGACCCGCACAAGCGGUGGAGCAUGUGGUUUAAUUCGAAGAUACACGAAGAACCUUACCUAGGCUUGACAUUGAUAGAAUCCGCUAGAGAUAGUGGAGUGCUAGCUUGCUAGAACUUGAAAACAGGUGCUGCACGGCUGUCGUCAGCUCGUGUCGUGAGAUGUUGGGUUAAGUCCCGCAACGAGCGCAACCCUCGUCCUUAGUUGCUAACUAUUCGGUAGAGCACUCUAAGGAGACUGCCUUCGCAAGGAGGAGGAAGGUGAGGAUGACGUCAAGUCAUCAUGGCCCUUACGCCUAGGGCUACACACGUGCUACAAUGGGAAGCACAAAGAGAUGCAAUAUUGUGAAAUGGAGCAAAUCUAUAAAACUUCUCUCAGUUCGGAUUGUAGUCUGCAACUCGACUACAUGAAGCUGGAAUCGCUAGUAAUCGUAAAUCAGCUAUGUUACGGUGAAUACGUUCCCGGGUCUUGUACUCACCGCCCGUCACACCAUGGGAGUUGUAUUCGCCUUAAGUCGGAAUGCCAAACUGGCUACCGCCCACGGCGGAUGCAGCGACUGGGGUGAAGUCGUAACAAGGUAACCGUAGGUGAACCUGCGGUUGGAUCACCUCCUUUC
Molecule: ribosomal RNA, 1683 nt
Filed under: Helicobacter ganmani
Lineage: Bacteria; Pseudomonadati; Campylobacterota; Epsilonproteobacteria; Campylobacterales; Helicobacteraceae
Description: bacterial SSU rRNA
Rfam family: Bacterial small subunit ribosomal RNA
Source: RNAcentral